Molecule: ribosomal RNA, 484 nt
Filed under: uncultured bacterium
Lineage: Bacteria
Description: partial 16S ribosomal RNA
Rfam family: Bacterial small subunit ribosomal RNA
Source: RNAcentral
AUUGAACGCUGGCGGCAGGCCUAACACAUGCAAGUCGAGCGGAUGAAGGGAGCUUGCUCCUGGAUUCAGCGGCGGACGGGUGAGUAAUGCCUAGGAAUCUGCCUGGUAGUGGGGGAUAACGUCCGGAAACGGGCGCUAAUACCGCAUACGUCCUGAGGGAGAAAGGGGGGGAUCUUCGGACCUCACGCUCUCAGAUGAGCCUAGGUCGGAUUAGCUAGUUGGUGGGGUAAAGGCCUACCAAGGCGACGAUCCGUAACUGGUCUGAGAGGAUGAUCAGUCACACUGGAACUGAGACACGGUCCAGACUCCUACGGGAGGCAGCAGUGGGGAAUAUUGGACAAAGGGCGAAAGCCUGAUCCAGCCAUGCCGCGUGUGUGAAGAAGGUCUUCGGAUUGUAAAGCACUUUAAGUUGGGAGGAAGGGCAGUAAGUUAAUACCUUGCUGUUUUGACGUUACCAACAGAAUAAGCACCGGCUAACUUCGUG